RNAcentral lists this ribosomal RNA (372 nucleotides) under uncultured organism. RNAcentral's name for it is "partial 16S ribosomal RNA". It matches the Rfam family "Bacterial small subunit ribosomal RNA", at positions 527 to 896 of the family's 1533-position model. The record is from RNAcentral.
AGGGGGUGCAAGCGUUAAUCGGAAUUACUGGGCGUAAAGCGCGCGUAGGUGGUUUGUUAAGUUGGAUGUGAAAUCCCCGGGCUCAACCUGGGAACUGCAUCCAAAACUGGCAAGCUAGAGUAUGGUAGAGGGUGGUGGAAUUUCCUGUGUAGCGGUGAAAUGCGUAGAUAUAGGAAGGAACACCAGUGGCGAAGGCGACCACCUGGACUGAUACUGACACUGAGGUGCGAAAGCGUGGGGAGCAAACAGGGAUUAGAUACCCUGGUAGUCCACGCCGUAAACGAUGUCAACUAGCCCGUUGGGAGCCUUGAGCUCUUAGUGGCGCAGCUAACGCAUUAAGUUGACCGCCUGGGGAGUACGGCCGCAAGGUUA